GCAGAAUCAUUGAGCAUUUUAGCUUGAAUGGCUUUCAAAGUAAUAAGAUACAAAAUUACCUUUUGUCUUAUUGUAGAUCUUCAUGCAUUAUUGCCAUCAUUUCAGCGUAUUUCUACUUAUUUCUUCCUGCAAUUUAUCCUUCAGAUUACUAUUCCUCAUUCUGUCUUGCCUAGCAAUGUCUUACACUUAGAAUGUAAAGUUCUCCUAUGACUCAUAUUCCAGGCAAAAUGCCAUUCAUUCUAAUAGAGUGAAACCAAGUAUAUAUUCCCCACAUUAAUUUAUCCAAAUCUGUUUUUUGUUCAGAUCAUUUUCUGCACUUUCAGAUAUAUCUUAUUUGUUCCUGACCUCUUCUGGAGCUCUCAGCGCAUUUCAAAGUUUAAUAGAUUAGACACCACAGCUCCACUAUGAAACAGAACUUGCAUUCCUUGGCUGCCUCUGGAUGUGCAAAUGCUGGUGGAGGCUGGAACCCCCCUGUGCCUGACUAGCAGCCAGCGAAUACCUGCCUUGGUCAAGGACCUUGCUGCAUCUUUCUGCAUUUCUCACUUCCAUUCUGGAUCACUGCACUCCUCACCAGAGCAAAGGUCGGAUUCUGGCUAUUUCCAUCAGGUAUUUCAAGCAAACAGAGAGCUCUGCCUGAGCAUCCACUUCUGAAUCACUGAGGAGCUGAAGUGUUUUCUAGUCCAUUGGGAUAAGAGCUGCUUAGUCCUGAAAUACAGUGCUACUCUUUGGCUUCUCCAAGGAUUAAACCUUUUUUUCUGCUAAGUUAAAAGGAGUUUUUCUAUUGUUUUGAAUCAUGAUAGGAAUUUUUCUCAGCAAGUAGUGGUAUCCAUAGGAGGCACUGUUUCUCUGAGCAGUCCCAGAGCAGGGACAGAGUUUCUGGCGCUAUGCUGUUGAUAAGCAGGGAUUAUGAGGAUUCCUCCUGGCACUGGCAUGGAACAUCCCAGAAAAGAAAUUGGAGUUGUUGCCUAAGGAUUUACCAAUCCUGCAUCACUGCUUAUGUCUCCUAAGUAAUCUUGCUCUGUCACAUAGCACUUCUGAUGUCUGCUCAGUGGUAUGGCAUUCAUUACUUCAGUCUCUGGUUUCUGUCUGUGCUUUCUAUCACCUUUGCAAGAUUUCAUGAACUAAUGGGAAAAGCAUAAAGGACAGAGAGGCAACCGAUCGCUGCUGGCUCCAGAAUAAAGCACCGUCACUGAGAUGUCUGUGUAUAAAAUCAACAGCUCUUCUAAAAAUCAUUGCUUGCAUAUACAAUACAGGAGCUGGUGAACUACACAAAAUGUAUGGAUUUUGUCAGCUAUCUUGUUUAGAUACAGCUUUGAACGUUAGAUUUGAGAUGAUUCAGAAGCAUCUAGUUGUUUUUAUGUCCUCACCGGCCUCCAAUUGCUGCUGCAGAAGUACUCACAUCUGUAAGUUUAGUAUACCUGCCAGCCCAACAAAGAUGCCUUGGACAACCUGGGGCAUCUGAAUGGCACAGAUCCUUAGUUCAGAUGUGUCCUGAUCAUUCCCAAGAUGUCUGCCUAGCUGGGAAAAUGGAAUACAUUUGAAGUUCAAAGCUUGUAUCUUCUGAGUAGGAUAAAAGGGUUUCCUUUGUCUUAGUUUAAUGGAUCAUUAUAAGAACAAGCAGCCCUUCAUGUUUCUGCACAUGAAAGAAAACCCAGAAAGUCACAAGCUCUCACAUGCAGCUGAAAACUGGAAGUAUAUAAUAUGUCUAGAACUCAUAUGCAGGCUGUGGAUUUAAGAGUGUCAGUCUUUAUGUCACCUGAUUGCUUUCAUACAAUGUAAGGCAUUGUGGUGCUUUGAUUAAAAAUUCAUUAGAUUUCAGUAGUACCAAAGACUGUCUUCAUCUAAAUGUGAGUAGACUGUUGUGAGAACUUUGCCAUUUUGUGAUGAGGAGAAUGCACCGGUUGUGUGAUCUGCGAGUUUCAUUUCUACAUCUACAAAUCUCUUUCCAAACAUGAUUUAAAUAUGCUUCAUGCCAUGUAACUCAAACAAUUCCAUGAAAAAAAAGUGGAGCUAAAUAAAAUGGAAGUGAUCUGAAACUUUCAUCUUUGUUCUAAAAGCACAUAAUCUUGUCACUUAACUGACAACAGUAAGGUGAUAUGAAUUUCCUCAAUCUAAGUCCUGGAAUCAUAUAAUGUCACACCUAUUUGUGUAAUGGUAAAGAAAAAUUAUACAUUCUAAAAAGCAAAAUAAAAAGAACCCCAAAAGAAUUAACAACAAUAACAAACUUUUAUGAUUUUGGAGGGCUGCCUCAUGAAUGUUGAAUGCUUGUCAUUAACGAUACAUAAAUAAAAUAUUGGGCUUUAGAUUCUCUGGUUCUUCAGGUCUUUGUGGCUGUUAAAUCACAGCAUACUCUGGCUUUUGUCCCACUGGACUCCACUGGUAACCUCAUUUUUUUGCAGCAGAUUCAGACUGAACAUACAGUAGUGAAGCUGCUGUGUCAGCAAUCCCACACACCUCUCCUGCUCUGUACUCUAUUAAUCUCUUUGAAGCAAAAGGAACCUCCUAUUCCACUCAUCUACACUUUUUCUAACACCUCCCCCAUUAGGGUCCCAGUCUGUGCUGCUUUUCUUCCUCCAGCCUGGAUGGUUUGGGAAUGUUCCACCUCAGCUGUCCUUGUGGGAGUAAAAGGCAAAAGAUCAGACAAGAGACAGCACGCCUUUGAGAAUGUGGAUGUAUCCAGGAAGGCUUAGUUCUGCCACCUUCAACUGUCUGGAAACACACUCUGUGAGUCACUUAACUGACUUUCAUAACCUUAUUCACUAGUUCAUACAGAAACGUACAGAGGAAAGAUAACAGAAGCGACAAGUCUGGAAUGUGUUUGCUUCUUGUGCCUCAAGUCAUGCAUGCUGAA
Non-coding RNA from Meleagris gallopavo (turkey), 2851 nucleotides. The record is from RefSeq and is a predicted model, not a curated record. NCBI's taxonomy places the organism in Eukaryota, Metazoa, Chordata, Aves, Galliformes, Phasianidae.